CGGAACUAUAAAUAGAUGUUUCAGAGCAACUCCUUGCUGCCAGUUAUCCGUCUACACAUCAACAUUAACAUAAUUACCACGGCGAAUCUCUAAUCUCGGCAGCAAGGCGUGCAGGUUUUAGCAGUUCACUGGGCUCUGUAACUGUGUAAUUUGGGUCUUCAGUCAACUGACAGAUCUGCAGGCGAGUCGCAGCGGAAAGUUGUGAACUUCCCCUGGUUCCCAGCCCUGAUUGCGCGGUGGCAAGUGAGAAGGGAACAAUGAAUAAUAUCUGUCACGUAUCCCAGAGGUAGAGAUGUAUCAUAGCCUAACUCGUGGCUGUCAGGGUAAUGCAGCACUCAUCUUCCAUCUCCUUUGUUUUGUUUGCAGCCGUCCCUGAAGGACGGGGCUGCAAUUGGGCUGGCAGCAGCAGGGUUCCUCUGCUGUCUUCUCCGGCAGCGUCUUUGGAGGGAGGUCUGGGGCUGGGGCUUUGCAGGGGCACGCACAUGCACAGCACAUCUCUCACCUCUUCCCCUCUAGGGCUGUGCAUUUGCAGCUUUACGAGGCUUUUGGAAGCCCCAUGCAGGUGGUGUUGUCACCAUGCUUUGCUGGGAUCCGGGAUUUUGGUGCUGGAGAUGCAUCUCCCCAUCAUCCCCAGGGCAGGGGACGCAUCUGCUCCCUCUGUCCCAACCCUUGCUCUCCGGGCAGUGCAGGGAAGGGCGGCCCCAGGCUCCCAGCCGUGCACUGUACGGGGCUGGCUGGAUGGUUUCGGUGGUUGGGUGACUCAUGACCUCAUCACAUUGCGGCAACGCUGCUCGAGCGCUCACACUGCAAAUUAUGGGCUGGAUCUCGCCGCCCCGGUGGUGGCUGGCUGCCUGGCGACUUCAGACAGAGCAAGCCUGUGUGGCUGCGCCGGCAUCUCUGACAGCAUAAUCUCCUGCCUGGUGUCAUCAUUAUGGAAACAAGCUGUAAAUCUUCCCUUGAUGUUAUGUAGAUCCGGGAUCGCUUGCCUCACGGGAACAGCCAGUGUUAAGAAAUAGGGUGUUGAACAUAAAGAUUACCAUAUUGCAAGCACUAAUUUUGGGAAGGAGCUGCCUUAGUGCUGGGAGCUGCUGGUGAUGCUGGGGCUCUGCAUGGGGCCGGCUCCCAGCUCUGGGCUCUUCCCACACCAAAUCCUCUUUUUCCCUUCUCAUCCCCCUGGCAAAGCCAUGGAGCAGCAGGAGGGGAGAAUAGCGCAGAGCCAGGGAGGCUGCCGGACAGCACAAGUUGCUGUUUGGAUAUUUUCAUCCCCGUUUUGCUGACCCACGGACACCUUUGCUCCCAGCCCUGUCAUUUUCACACCUGCUCCCAUUUAAUUCUGCACAUCCCAGCCGGCUCUGCGGGUCGCUGCUCUUCGGGCUCGGCUGCUCCCAGUGCC
This 1393-nucleotide long non-coding RNA is filed under the name Numida meleagris (helmeted guineafowl). RNAcentral describes it as "lncRNA (ENSNMEG00000008115.1)". Lineage: Eukaryota; Metazoa; Chordata; Aves; Galliformes; Numididae. The record is from RNAcentral.